RNAcentral lists this ribosomal RNA (598 nucleotides) under uncultured fungus. RNAcentral describes it as "eukaryotic LSU rRNA". The stretch from base 236 to 389 matches the Rfam family "5.8S ribosomal RNA". The record is from RNAcentral. Lineage: Eukaryota; Fungi.
UCUCCGUUGGUGAACCAGCGGAGGGAUCAUUACCGAGUUUACAACUCCCAAACCCAAUGUGAACGUUACCAAACUGUUGCCUCGGCGGGAUCUUCUGCCCCGGGUGCGUCGCAGCCCCGGACCAAGGCGCCCGCCGGAGGAAUCAACCAAAACUCUUAUUGUAUACCCCCUCGCGGGUUUUUUUAUAAUCUGAGCCUUCUCGGCGCCUCUCGUAGGCGUUUCGAAAAUGAAUCAAAACUUUCAACAACGGAUCUCUUGGUUCUGGCAUCGAUGAAGAACGCAGCGAAAUGCGAUAAGUAAUGUGAAUUGCAGAAUUCAGUGAAUCAUCGAAUCUUUGAACGCACAUUGCGCCCGCCAGUAUUCUGGCGGGCAUGCCUGUCCGAGCGUCAUUUCAACCCUCGAACCCCUCCGGGGGGUCGGCGUUGGGGAUCGGCCCUUUACGGGGCCGGCCCCGAAAUACAGUGGCGGUCUCGCCGCAGCCUCUCCUGCGCAGUAGUUUGCACACUCGCAUCGGGAGCGCGGCGCGUCCAUUGCCGUAAAACACCCAACUUUCUGAAAUGUUGACCUCGGAUCAGGUAGGAAUACCCGCUGAACUUAA